RNAcentral lists this ribosomal RNA (460 nucleotides) under uncultured bacterium. Its description in RNAcentral is "partial 16S ribosomal RNA". It matches the Rfam family "Bacterial small subunit ribosomal RNA", at positions 338 to 795 of the family's 1533-position model. The record is from RNAcentral.
CCUACGGGCGGCAGCAGUGAGGAAUAUUGGUCAAUGGACGAGAGUCUGAACCAGCCAAGUAGCGUGAAGGAUGACCGCCCUAUGGGUUGUAAACUUCUUUUAUAUGGGAAUAAAAUGUUCCACGUGUGGGAUUUUGUAUGUACCAUAUGAAUAAGGAUCGGCUAACUCCGUGCCAGCAGCCGCGGUAAUACGGAGGAUCCGAGCGUUAUCCGGAUUUAUUGGGUUUAAAGGGAGCGUAGGUGGAUUGUUAAGUCAGUUGUGAAAGUUUGCGGCUCAACCGUAAAAUUGCAGUUGAAACUGGCAGUCUUGAGUACAGUAGAGGUGGGCGGAAUUCGUGGUGUAGCGGUGAAAUGCUUAGAUAUCACGAAGAACUCCGAUUGCGAAGGCAGUUCACUGGACUGCAACUGACACUGAGGCUCGAAAGUGUGGGUAUCAAACAGGAUUAGAUACCCGUGUAGUC